GAUGAACGCUGGCGGCGUGCUUAACACAUGCAAGUCGAACGAGGUCUUCGGACCAAGUGGCGGACGGGUGAGUAACGCGUGAGUAUCUGCCCAGAGGUGGGGGACAACAAUUGGAAACGAUUGCUAAUACCCCAUAUGCUGAGAGGUGAAAGGUUUACUGCCUUUGGAUGAGCUCGCGUCUGAUUAGCUAGAUGGUGGGGUGAAGGCCUACCAUGGCGACGAUCAGUAGCUGGUCUGAGAGGAUGAUCAGCCACACUGGGACUGAGACACGGCCCAG
This 277-nucleotide ribosomal RNA is filed under the name uncultured bacterium. Its description in RNAcentral is "partial 16S ribosomal RNA". It matches the Rfam family "Bacterial small subunit ribosomal RNA", at positions 28 to 334 of the family's 1533-position model. The record is from RNAcentral.